RNAcentral lists this ribosomal RNA (612 nucleotides) under Pseudogymnoascus pannorum. RNAcentral's name for it is "eukaryotic LSU rRNA". It matches the Rfam family "Eukaryotic large subunit ribosomal RNA", at positions 38 to 667 of the family's 3401-position model. The record is from RNAcentral. Lineage: Eukaryota; Fungi; Ascomycota; Leotiomycetes; Thelebolales; Thelebolaceae.
GCAUAUCAAUAAGCGGAGGAAAAGAAACCAACAGGGAUUACCUCAGUAACGGCGGAGUGAAGCGGUAACAGCUCAAAUUUGAAAUCUGGCCUCACGGUCCGAGUUGUAAUUUGUAGAGGAUGCUUCGAGCAUGGUCUGGCCUAAGUUCCUUGGAACAGGACGUCAUAGAGGGUGAGAAUCCCGUAUGCGGCCAGGUGCCUACGCUCAUGUGAAGCUCCUUCGACGAGUCGAGUUGUUUGGGAAUGCAGCUCAAAAUGGGUGGUAAAUUUCAUCUAAAGCUAAAUAUUGGCCAGAGACCGAUAGCGCACAAGUAGAGUGAUCGAAAGAUGAAAAGCACUUUGGAAAGAGAGUUAAACAGUACGUGAAAUUGUUGAAAGGGAAGCGCUUGCAACCAGACUUGCGCGCGGCCGAUCAUCCGGUGUUCUCACCGGUGCACUCGGCCGUGCUCAGGCCAGCAUCGGUUUUGGCGGCUGGAUAAAGGCCCUAGGAAUGUGGCUCCUCUCGGGGAGUGUUAUAGCCUAGGGUGCAAUGCAGCCUGCUGGGACCGAGGACCGCGCUUCGGCUAGGAUGCUGGCGUAAUGGUUGUAAGCGGCCCGUCUUGAAACACGGACC